GGUUUCACCGUGGUCUCGAUCUCCUGACCUCGUGAUCCGCCCGCCUCAGCCUCCCAAAGUGCUGGGAUUACAGGCGUGAGCCACCGCGCCCGGCCAGUUCAAUGGAUUUUAAAAAUUAUUAUUCUCUAGAAAAAAGACCACGAACUUUGGAGUGGACAUCCUGAGACCUGCCUACGAAGACCAUUAGGUGGCCUCCAGAAGACACUCCCCUGAUUCCUACACCGAGGGAACACACAGCAGCAAGCUAGGAAAGAAGGGGUGACCCAGCCCAACGCUGUAAACCAGGGCGCGAACCGGCGUUGAGCUGUGCAGCUGCGCCCUGGGCUCCAGUCCUGCUCUGCCGCAGACCCCACCGGAGCCAGCACCUGCCUCCCCGACCCUCGCUGGGGCGGCUGUGAGAUGAGCCCAGAGCCUUCCUGAGCCAACCCUCGCAAGGAAAGUCUGUCUGUUCACCCCACUAUCCUUGUCUUGAAGGAUGAAGAAAAGAGGGCCCCCCGGGAGGUCCCAAAAGGUGGAAUGGACAUCUGGGAUCCAAGCACAGCAAUUUCUUUAUUUUUCUUAAGCCUCUCACUAGAGGAUGAAAAUCGUUCUGCAUAAAGGCCUGGGCUUUAUGAAAAAUAUAUUCACACCUCCCGUGUCCGAGCUGGGAUACCAAAGAAGUUCCUGGUUGAGUACUACUUAUGAAUGAAGGAUUCAGGGGAUGCACAGGUGGGUGACUGCAAAUGCACAGACGUUGUGCUGUGUUCCCCACAAUAAAGGGGUCUGUAUUAAGAUGCAGGCAUUCUCAUGGAACACAGACGUAUAACACUCAAGCUGGGGGACUGCAAAGGAGCAUCUGGGGCUGCAGGAAGAGAGUUAAGGUGCAAAAAUGCCCUGACCCAACUGAGACUUGUAAUUGCUCAUGUGGUAAUACAUGUGACUUCAUUCCCCUGCUCUGUCUUUGUGAAUGCAACCAUUGUUGGGGAGAUAGUGAGAGGGGACACUGGCAUUGAAAGUUUUGUUUGCAGCAGGCCUCAAAAGGCACUCAGAUGCAGAUUUCCCUGCAAAGACUUCCCGGCCUAUCAUGGAGUUCCCCAUCCCUAGAUCUCUGAUCUCUGAGCUGGUGUA
This is a long non-coding RNA of Homo sapiens (human), 1107 nucleotides long. Ensembl annotates it as glycosaminoglycan regulatory associated long non-coding RNA. Its record names the gene GRASLND. NCBI's taxonomy places the organism in Eukaryota, Metazoa, Chordata, Mammalia, Primates, Hominidae. The record is from Ensembl.